AACGCUAGCUACAGGCUUAACACAUGCAAGUCGAGGGGCAGCAUGGUCUUAGCUUGCUAAGACUGAUGGCGACCGGCGCACGGGUGAGUAACACGUAUCCAACCUGCCGUCUACUCUUGGACAGCCUUCUGAAAGGAAGAUUAAUACAAGAUGGCAUCAUGAGUCCGCAUGUUCACAUGAUUAAAGGUAUUCCGGUAGACGAUGGGGAUGCGUUCCAUUAGAUAGUAGGCGGGGUAACGGCCCACCUAGUCUUCGAUGGAUAGGGGUUCUGAGAGGAAGGUCCCCCACAUUGGAACUGAGACACGGUCCAAACUCCUACGGGAGGCAGCAGUGAGGAAUAUUGGUCAAUGGGCGAGAGCCUGAACCAGCCAAGUAGCGUGAAGGAUGACUGCCCUAUGGGUUGUAAACUUCUUUUAUAAAGGAAUAAAGUCGGGUAUGCAUACCCGUUUGCAUGUACUUUAUGAAUAAGGAUCGGCUAACUCCGUGCCAGCAGCCGCGGUAAUACGGAGGAUCCGAGCGUUAUCCGGAUUUAUUGGGUUUAAAGGGAGCGUAGACGGAUGUUUAAGUCAGUUGUGAAAGUUUGCGGCUCAACCGUAAAAUUGCAGUUGAUACUGGAUAUCUUGAGUGCAGUUGAGGCAGGCGGAAUUCGUGGUGUAGCGGUGAAAUGCUUAGAUAUCACGAAGAACUCCGAUUG
This 694-nucleotide ribosomal RNA is filed under the name uncultured bacterium. RNAcentral describes it as "bacterial SSU rRNA". It matches the Rfam family "Bacterial small subunit ribosomal RNA", at positions 32 to 715 of the family's 1533-position model. The record is from RNAcentral.